CCUACGGGGGGCUGCAGUGGGGAAUAUUGGACAAUGGGCGAAAGCCUGAUCCAGCAAUGCCGCGUGAGUGAUGAAGGCCUUAGGGUUGUAAAGCUCUUUUACCCGGGAAGAUAAUGACUGUACCGGGAGAAUAAGCCCCGGCUAACUCCGUGCCAGCAGCCGCGGUAAUACGGAGGGGGCUAGCGUUAUUCGGAAUUACUGGGCGUAAAGCGCGCGUAGGCGGUUUUUCAAGUCAGAGGUGAAAGCCCGGAGCUCAACUCCGGAAUUGCCUUUGA
This 275-nucleotide ribosomal RNA is filed under the name uncultured bacterium. RNAcentral's name for it is "partial 16S ribosomal RNA". It matches the Rfam family "Bacterial small subunit ribosomal RNA", at positions 338 to 630 of the family's 1533-position model. The record is from RNAcentral.